Molecule: ribosomal RNA, 417 nt
Filed under: Phoenicolacerta laevis (Lebanon lizard)
Lineage: Eukaryota; Metazoa; Chordata; Lepidosauria; Squamata; Lacertidae
Description: partial 16S ribosomal RNA
Rfam family: Archaeal large subunit ribosomal RNA
Source: RNAcentral
GGUUCCGCCUGCCCAGUGACUCUUUUUAAACGGCCGCGGUAUCCUAACCGUGCAAAGGUAGCAUAAUCACUUGUCCCUUAAAUAGGGACUAGCAUGAAUGGCUAAAUGAGGACUUAACUGUCUCUUACAGCCCGCCAAUAAAACUGAUCUCCCAGUACAAAAGCUGGAAUAAACCCAUAAGACGAGAAGACCCUGUGGAGCUUCAAAUCAAACCCACAACCAUGGUUCUAGAUUUUUAGUUGGGGCGACUUCGGAGCAUAAAAAACCCUCCAAACAUGUAUUAUUCAACCUUAUCGAGACUAACACACCAAAACACAACAAAAGACCCAGCAACAUUUUAAUGUUGUCUGAUAAAUGAACCAAGUUACCCCAGGGAUAACAGCGCCAUCCCCUUCUAGAGUCCCUAUCGACAAGGGG